Myiozetetes cayanensis is the source of this 3191-nucleotide long non-coding RNA. RefSeq lists it as uncharacterized. The transcript has 2 exons. The record is from RefSeq and is a predicted model, not a curated record. Lineage: Eukaryota; Metazoa; Chordata; Aves; Passeriformes; Tyrannidae.
CUCCAGCUCCCCAGCUAUUGUCAUCCACGACCUUAAUUAGGAACAUGCUAGAAAUCACGUCUGGUUUGUCACUCACAGGUGCACAAUUAAAAAGUCAUUUUAUUUACUUUUACUGUUAACUCCCAUGUUCCUCCUGGGUGCUGCUCUGCUUCUGGGAAGCUGGAUUGGCACAGGGGUGGUAUGGGGGGGUGAAGUGGGUGCUGGAGGGCACCCAAAGCAUGACCUGAUGUGAUGUGGUGCCUUGUUUUAAAAAUCAGUGCUGCUCUAGAGGAUGAACUUACUUACUUUUUUUUUUUCUUUUUUUUUUUUUCAGGGACAUCACUGGCUCAUCAAUUUUUAAUUCCUGAGCUUGGCAGCACUGGCUGAAUUAGAAACAGAACAACUGAUUUUAAUGAGCCUCCUGCCACUGGGCCAAGAAACCCAGAGAUGGUCAGUGCUGGGGGCACCCCUCACCAGCAGUCCUGGCUACGAUGCCUUGGGUUUUAUCCAUGCCAACCCCAAAAAUGGGUCCAUACAUGGAUGGAACCUGGCGGCUCCAGGGGUGCAUGGCACGAUCCCCCUCCAAAGAUUCAGGGGUCUGGAAUCAUCCCACCCCAAACCCACAGGUUUUUCCUCAGCAGAGUUAUCCACCCACUGGUGUCCUCAGCCUCCCCCAGCCUGGCUGGGGUCGGUGCUGUGCUGCUGACCUGGCCAGGUGGAGAUGUCAAGGCAAGUCAUUUUUUUUUUUUUGCUUUUUCACACUUUUCAGCUUGUUAACAGCCGUUGUUCCCUCUGCAUCUGUCAGCCCAGGGGAGAACCACAGUGCUUUAGCCCUGUGUCGCCAGGGAGAGCUUAAAUAUCGUCAUUAAAAAAUCCCAGCCUUGCAGCAUCUCCUCAGACAUGCAGGAAGAAACCUUUGCAAUUAGAUUCCCUGUGCACUGGCAGGAGGGCAGGAGUUCUUUCCUUUCCCCCCCUUUUUGUGAUGAGGAUAUUCUGUGAUUUUUUAGGGCAGCAGGGAAAAAGAAAAAAGAGGAGAAAAAAAAAAAAAAGCAGCCUGUUUGAUUUUCCUCAUUAUGUUAAGCCUGGUUUUACUUUCUGAUUGCCAAAGCAUGAUAAAUGGAACAGAGAUUACCUAGAGAUUUUCAAAGAUUUGCUUUCAAUUUGAUUUUUCCUGAGCCUCAUUAAGCCUGCAGGUUUUAUCUACACUUUGUUCUUCCAGGGGAGUGACACGACCACAUAUUAAUAGCCAUAUUUUUCAUUCGUUGAAAUUAAAACCAGAUAGAGGCUUCUCAUGCUUUGCUUUCAAAUCCUAUUUUAAAAAAUAUUGAUCAUGUGUGUGUUGUUUUCCUUUCCCUCUGACACUGCUGGCUCUGGAAAGGACGUUCACCAGGGAAAUGCUUUCAGUCCUGGAUCUCUGAGCAUUACUGGGUGCAGUUCUGUGGAUUAAGGAACAUAUUUUGGAAGCUAUAAUGUAUAGAUCAAAGAAAAAUGUGGCUUUCAACAGAGAGGCAGAUAAGAAAAACAAGAUUUUUAAAGCAGGAGCUCUACAGUUAGGGGGUAUAGAGGAGCUUAGACAAGAUAAGAUAAUCUAUGAUGAGCCCAUGUGCAUCUUUCAGGAGAAGAGUGGCACUGGAAGAGCUCGUGCUCUGUGAUUUUAGGAGAAACAGCCAAAAAUCUCUGCUCCUGAGGCCACCACAGCCCUGGUGCUCCCUCACCCUCUGCCAUCGAGCUGCUCAUCUCCACAGCCCUGCCAGAGCCCCAUCCUGCAAGGGAAAGGGCAUUUCCCAGGGUCCUUUCCCUUGGAUAGGCACACAUGGUUUUUCUCCUCUUGUUUACAAGGGAAUGUUUUCUUUUUUAAAAACAGGGACUGUUUUUGUAGCAGCUCCUGCCCUGCUUCGUAAACCAAACAUUUCCCCAGCACUCUGUGUCUCAGAUGACGUUAUGGUUACUGGAAUGCCAGUGGGAAUAUCCAGAAUGUAUUUCUUGGUGGAGCCUGGGGAUUUUGUGCUGCCUGACUCCAAAUGUGACUCCGAUGGCUCCUUCUGGCUGAGCCAGCUGGACAUGGCUGGUGCUGGGGCUCAGCUGGAGAAGGGUUUGUGUUCAUGUGCCCAAGGCCAGCCCUCACCACCCUGCAGGAGGGGAGCAUCCCCUCUGCUUCCACUGGCUCAGCUCAGGCUGAGACUCAGGGCAGGAUGAAGUUGCCUUUACUGGUUCCAGUCUGGCAGGAGCUGGACAUGUGCUGCUGGUUCUGAUUCUACCCAGUUGUUGCCUCUGCUCCCCUUCCAACGACUUUGCACUCUCUACAUGCAUUUGUGGGAGAGGCUGGAGAGAGUUUUCCCUGUGGAGCACCCUCUCACUAUCUCUGCUAGAUACAGGAUGCCAGAUUUGAUUAAAAUGCUCUGAUCUGCUCUGACAAAUCCCCUGUUCCUAAGUAGAUAAUAACCAGAAAAUCACCCUAAAUAAAUCCUGGGCUCAGAUCUGUGCCCACACUUGUUAUUCUUUUCAUAUUAAUUAGAUGCUUCCUCUUGUCCUGAACUGGGAGCAUCCUCAGCCCCUCGAAGGAGAAAGGAGGCACGGAUUUAUGGCUGCUGAAGGACCAGGUGGAGUGUUGUCUGUAAAAAAUGAGGGUCUAAUUUGGCAGCAUUGAGGCACAAGUAACCAGAAACACCUUGGCUGAGCAGAGAUUAAAGGUUACAGAUAGCUAUAAUCCCAAACUGCAGAGAAAAGUGCUGGGAUACCUUUCCAUCAUACAGAAUCAUGGAAUGGUUUGGGUUGGAAGGCACCUCAAAGGUCAUCCAGUUCCAAGCCCCUGGCGUGGUCAUGCCAGCUCAGUGAAGGCUGGCACCUGGAGGAGAGAGAGGAAUAUGCUGGAAUAACACCUGUUCACUUUUCCUCUCUCUUUCUUCAGUAUCACUGAUCCACUUGAUCCUGAGAUGUCCCUUUGGCAAAGGGGAGUCCUGGGAACCAUCUGCCCCCAGAGCUGGACCAGGUCUUUGCACCGAACAAAAGGAGUUUCACCGUGAGAGAAGUGACACCCCUGCCGGGGGUGGCUGCUGCACUCCUGGGGCCACCAGCCACGUCCACAUCACCCGUGAUCCAGCUUUUCGACCCUCUCCUUCCAUCCGUGAAUCCUCGGCGUGGAUCCAAAGCCUUAGGACGGCAGCGCUGAGCUGCAGAACAAGGGUCCGGCUCGUAAAAUCUGAGAAGAAAAA